UUAUGGCCAUAUCAUGUUGAGACACCAGUUUCCAUAUGAUUAGUGAGGUUAAACAACAUCCAGCCUGGUCAGUACCUAGAUGGGUGACUGCUUGGGAAUACCAAGUGCUGUAAGC
Non-coding RNA from Acanthosepion pharaonis, 115 nucleotides. The record is from the annotation of a GenBank genome assembly. NCBI's taxonomy places the organism in Eukaryota, Metazoa, Mollusca, Cephalopoda, Sepiida, Sepiidae.